CCUUCGAUAGCUCAGCUGGUAGAGCGGAGGACUGUAGUACUUACCGUACCGUUAUCCUUAGGUCGCUGGUUCGAUUCCGGCUCGAAGGA
Molecule: non-coding RNA, 89 nt
Organism: Papio anubis (olive baboon)
Lineage: Eukaryota; Metazoa; Chordata; Mammalia; Primates; Cercopithecidae
Source: Rfam